Pyrus x bretschneideri (Chinese white pear) is the source of this 507-nucleotide long non-coding RNA. RefSeq lists it as uncharacterized. The record is from RefSeq and is a predicted model, not a curated record. The transcript has 2 exons. Lineage: Eukaryota; Viridiplantae; Streptophyta; Magnoliopsida; Rosales; Rosaceae.
AGAAGGGGGAUGAAUCGGAGAAGGGUGCGGACGAGUGCAGGGGGGCCUGCGGUCUUCUACUCUCUUCCUAUUUUCCUACCUAAACUCAACUUCUCCAACCACUAUCAUUUUCGAUCUGAUAGUGGUACCCCCAUCAUUUAUCAAGUCUCAGCCUUGGGUAUUUGGUUUCAAAGAGAAACCAAACGAGUUCUUGAUUCAACUUCAACAGCAUGGUAUCUAUAGUUUCUAGCUUUCGGAGUUCAGAUUAUUCGGAUAAGGUGGCAUGGUUUCAUAUCUCAGUGAUAGCUCCGAUGGAUCAUUGCUCAUAUCAUGAUAAAUAUUGUUCCACAAAGGAACAAGAUGUGUGAUUACCAAUAGGUGGCAUUUUACCAUUUAUGAAGACAAACUUCGUGCACAACAAUUGGUUAUUUCUAGUUUUGCAAUGUUACAUAGUAGAUGGUUUGAUUUGAUAUAGGUUUAUCAUUUCUGUGAGUGAUUUUAAUAUAAGUGAUAUUGGUGAUUAUUCUA